CAAAACCUCAGCGUAUGUACUGACCUCAUACUUUCGUCAUGAAUCCGUGGAGUGUUUCGGUCCUUCUUGUAGUGUUUGCCUUGCUAUCGACCGCACCUGUUAACAGUGUACCGUAUAAAAGAGACCGAACGAGUAUACUAUUGAGUACCGAUGGGGAGAGAUCGGCGUUACGUGUACGACGAGAAGAUACAACCGGAACUGACGAUGCUGGACAGGGAUUCGGGAACAAACAAUUGCCAUCUCCUCCUUGAGUGCAACCAAUCUUAAUGCCAUUUGAUCAUGGAUACAAAACGAGUAACAUCAUCUUUCAGUUAGAUGUUAGCGAGGACAAUCGAUUUAGAUUUAAAACAUUGUUUUCAUAAUUUCUGUCAACAAAUAUGUAUCACUAAUUCAUAUAAAUUAAUUGAUUCAU
Mizuhopecten yessoensis (Yesso scallop) is the source of this 412-nucleotide long non-coding RNA. RefSeq lists it as uncharacterized. NCBI's taxonomy places the organism in Eukaryota, Metazoa, Mollusca, Bivalvia, Pectinida, Pectinidae. The transcript has 3 exons. The record is from RefSeq and is a predicted model, not a curated record.